Molecule: ribosomal RNA, 471 nt
Filed under: uncultured bacterium
Lineage: Bacteria
Description: bacterial SSU rRNA
Rfam family: Bacterial small subunit ribosomal RNA
Source: RNAcentral
AUUGAACGCUGGCGGCAGGCCUAACACAUGCAAGUCGAACGGUAGCACAGAGAGCUUGCUCUCGGGUGACGAGUGGCGGACGGGUGAGUAAUGUCUGGGAAACUGCCCGAUGGAGGGGGAUAACUACUGGAAACGGUAGCUAAUACCGCAUAACGUCGCAAGACCAAAGAGGGGGACCUUCGGGCCUCUUGCCAUCGGAUGUGCCCAGAUGGGAUUAGCUUGUAGGUGAGGUAACGGCUCACCUAGGCGACGAUCCCUAGCUGGUCUGAGAGGAUGACCAGCCACACUGGAACUGAGACACGGUCCAGACUCCUACGGGAGGCAGCAGUGGGGAAUAUUGCACAAUGGGCGCAAGCCUGAUGCAGCCAUGCCGCGUGUGUGAAGAAGGCCUUAGGGUUGUAAAGCACUUUUACCCGGGAAGAUAAUGACGGUACCGGGAGAAUAAGCCCCGGCUAACUUCGUGCCAGCAGC